Non-coding RNA from Oryctolagus cuniculus (rabbit), 2509 nucleotides. NCBI's taxonomy places the organism in Eukaryota, Metazoa, Chordata, Mammalia, Lagomorpha, Leporidae. The record is from RefSeq and is a predicted model, not a curated record.
CGCAGGGGCGGCCCGGCUGGGCUACCAGAAGCGACAGCUUCCUCCGGCACUGAACGUUGGCACUCCAGCGUCCUGACCGGCGGUGGGCUCCGGGUCGCUGAGCGGUGGGCGCGGCGCGAGAACACUUGAAACAAGUAUUCUCGGGAUGGAGAUUGAGUGGCAUCCCUGUUUCUUCUCUCCUAGCUCUUUGGGUGAGAUACUCAGUUCUAGCUCAUUGUUUUGACCUGACACUGGCUCCAUGUCAGGAUCUGUCUGCAUGAUGAUCUACCUGCAUGAUGACAAAGUCCUCAGUUGUUAGAUGCUUAAACAUUACAGCUAGCAAAUAGUGCCUUUUCAAAUUUCUGCCAGAAUUCUUAGAAAGACCCUCUAGCUUCUUAAUUAAAUGGUAGAGUAAGCAAUUAGGAACACUCUCAAAGUUAAAUGACCCUCCAUAUUUCAAAGGGCUGGGGGAAUUUGCCAAGGGAUUGACCCUACCACUUUAACAUUUCUGAUUUUAAAUUCAGGGAAGUAACUGCAGACUAGAAACCUGGGAAAAGAGAUAGCUUUGUUUUUCCAAUGAAGCAUUUCUUUUCCAGCUUUAAUUAAAACAGAUGCCUUGUGUGAAGAUUCUUUUAUUUACAUGGAACACAUCGUGAAAAUGAAGGCUUUAGCUCCCUGAAAAGCCUUUCCUGACCAGGAAAAUGAGGCCAGGCUAACCCAACUUCACUUAAGUCCUUUGAAAUUUUCAAACAUUUCAAGUGCUCUUCAGAAUGCCUUUCAUGCCAAGCUCUAGGUACAGGUCUGCACAAAGCCAAAUGAGCUGCAGGGGAAGUCUAGCCGAUGAUCACUGACCAAUCCUUGAUUUUCAUUCUUGAGUCUGUCCAGAUUCUUCUUUGGGAAGUGGAUUAAUGUUUGCAGAAGCCACUCAAGAUAAGUCUCAGAAGCCAUGGAGCUGACUUGUGAGUGUUCAUCUCGUAGAUCCUCUUAGAGGGUUUGUUGCAUUGUGCCCCAUGCAAUGUUUAACUCUGAAAACUCGUACAGUUCCAUUUUCAAGACAAGCUAGGGUGUGUGAAGAUUUACUUGAAAUGGAUUUUAAGGCUUGUAUUGUCUCUUACAAGUUGAUAGAUGGAUGAGUUUUUUACUCUAGGAAGUAUCUCUUCAAUCUUAAGUAGAUGAUAGGAAAGGCACCUGUUUUCCUUUCUAAGCUUUCUUUUACUCCAGUUCUCUCCAGUUUCACUUUCUGUCAAGCCUAUUUCUUCUGACUCAAGUCUCCAAAUGAAGCAUUGUUAUUUUUCUUGUUGACUCCAAUCAUGUUAGCAUACCACCAGUUACAAUGCAAGAGCUUUGAAAAGUAGGUUCUCUCUUUUACUUUACACAUACAGUAUAAAGUUUUACAUAGAAUGAAUACCAGCAUUUUUGCUCAAAGAUUUAUAGAUCUACCUUUUCAAUCUGAAGUGAUAUAGCAGUCUCAGGAAAUGUUAGUGCUUGUUUCCCAUAUUGCUUUUCUGACAGAACAUGCAUUAAACAGGGUGUUCUCUGCACUUUAAUUGAAAGUGGGUAUUACAGAUCACCCUCAGAAGACUCUAAGUAUGCGUAAGUGCAUACACAGUUGGUAAGAAUUCUCCCUUUCCUACUGAACUUCAAAGAAUGAUUUCAGUUUCUUUUGGUUGGGAAAAAAAAAAAACAGACAAUAUCCCUGAAUGCAGCAUGGUGAAUGCUCCAUAAAUGGUAAAUAUCAGUCAUAAUCUGCCUGAUUUUAAAAAUAUUUUUGAUCUUUAUGAUAUUAAACAUAAAAAUGCCCUUGGGGUUUUCCAAAAUAUUCAGUGUCAAAUUGUGUUUAAAAAGAAGACUGACAGUCAUAAGCAUUUUAAAUACAUGAAAAAUAAGUAGUUUGAUGAUGGCAACUAUCACCAACACUGUGGCAAGUUAUAAUGCUAGGUAAGAAGGGAGUUACCUACAACUUGUAGGAAGACAGCGACUCAAGAAUUCUCUGGAAAUCAUUUAUUUAUGGAGGCAGUGUAUGCUGAUAGAUAAGGAAAAUUGAUGGUUCUGCUAUCCUUGUAAAAAUCUGAAUUGUUAAUUUUAAGUUGUGGAUGUUAUCCGGUUUCUGAGACAUUUUUACUUCUGAAUUGGAAAUUAUUAAAUUCUGAAUUGGAAAUUAUUAAAAUUCAAAACUUUAUUCAAUUGAAACAGAAAUAUAAAACUUUCCCUGGUAUUUAACAAAGAUAACUGACAUUCUGUAUUAGGUACUUCAGAUAUUCCAAGAUAAAAUAUUCAGGUUUGACUUGAAUAAUUUAGAAGCACUCUGACUAACUAGAAAUGUAGUUUAUAGGGACAUCUAUAAAAAUAUUUGUACAAGAUAUAUAUGAUAACAUUGUACUGUUCCCAUAAACUCAUAGAAUAAUGAACUGCAAUGACUGCUUCUUACAUUAAAAAAAGCCUAAUACUAAGUCCCAGUACCCUAGUACUGCCUUUAAUUAGAAUCCAUUUAUACCUACUACACUCCAAAUUUUCCUUAUUUGACUUCCAA